This 375-nucleotide ribosomal RNA is filed under the name uncultured bacterium. RNAcentral's name for it is "bacterial SSU rRNA". It matches the Rfam family "Bacterial small subunit ribosomal RNA", at positions 524 to 898 of the family's 1533-position model. The record is from RNAcentral.
UACGUAGGUGGCGAGCGUUGUCCGGAAUUAUUGGGCGUAAAGAGCGCGUAGGCGGGUAAAUAAGUCUGUUUUAAAAGUGCGGGGCUCAACCCCGUGAUGGAAUGGAAACUGUUUAUCUUGAGUACCGGAGAGGAAAGUGGAAUUCCCAGUGUAGCGGUGAAAUGCGUAGAUAUUGGGAGGAACACCAGUGGCGAAGGCGACUUUCUGGACGGUGUCUGACGCUGAGGCGCGAAAGCCAGGGAAGUGAACGGGAUUAGAUACCCCGGUAAUCCUGGCCGUAAACGAUGGGUACUAGGUGUAGAGGGUAUCGACCCCUUCUGUGCCGGAGUUAACGCAAUAAGUACCCCGCCUGGGGAGUACGGCCGCAAGGUUGAA